This 467-nucleotide ribosomal RNA is filed under the name Meghimatium fruhstorferi. RNAcentral's name for it is "partial 16S ribosomal RNA". The stretch from base 1 to 196 matches the Rfam family "Archaeal large subunit ribosomal RNA", at positions 1902 to 2143 of the family's 2987-position model. Lineage: Eukaryota; Metazoa; Mollusca; Gastropoda; Stylommatophora; Philomycidae. The record is from RNAcentral.
AAAACAUAGUCUGCAGUAAAAUAUUGUAGAUCACUUCUGCUCAAUGAGGAAAUAAUUAAAUAGCCGCAGUACUUUGACUGUGCUAAGGUAGCAAAAUAAUUUGACUUUUAAAUGGGGCCUCGCAUGAAUGAAUAAAUGGUUAAAACUUGUCUCUGAGAUUAUACUCAAAAUUUACUUAGUUGGUGAAAACUCCAACAUUUUUAAUAUUAGACGAGAAGACCCUAAGAAUUUGGAAUAAAAGGUUUAAUUUUAAAUUUUACUUAUUUGUUGGGGCGACAGUAUAAACAAAUUUAACUUAUAAACACAAAAAACAAGACUAUUAAAAUAUAAAUAUGAAUAUAAUUACCUUAGGGAUAACAGCACAAUAUUUUUUUUUGUUUGAUGACCUCGAUGUUGGAUUAGGGCCAAAAAUGGUUAAAAAUUAUUUUUGAUUGCUUCUGUUCGAAGUAUAGUUACCUACGUGAUCU